GAAAGUUAGAAAAGAACAAGCCACGGAAAGCAAGAGCAAGUGACACAAUUCUGUCAGAUAAAAUUAGGAGGCUUCUCUCAGUUGUAUGUCAGCAACAUCAAUGAAGAGUGACCGUUCAAUGGAUUCCCCUCGUUAUUUCAAAGAGAGAGAAAAGGUCUCUCAGCCAAAAGCAGAAACAGGAGAACCAUGUGACAUCUGCUCUGAGCGCAAAGCCAUGAAGCUUUGUCUGACCUGCUCUGUCUACUACUGUGAGAAACACAUGAGGAAGCACUUCAUAAUACAAGCACUGAGGAGACACGUCAUGGUGGAUGUCACUGAAGAAGUCGUACUACAGAGAAACACCUUGGAGAAGAAGAGGAGAGAGGAGCAGGAGGAAGAGGGAAGGAGACAGGGACAGGAGGAGGGGCUGAGGUGGCAGACGAGGAAGGAGGACUUUAGGGAAGAGGAGAGGGGGCACCAGGAGGCUGCGGAACAACAGUGCAGAGAGAAGGAGAGGAAGAGAGAGAUGGAGAAGGAGAGGGAGAGAGAGAGGGA
Oncorhynchus nerka (sockeye salmon) is the source of this 534-nucleotide long non-coding RNA. RefSeq lists it as uncharacterized. The record is from RefSeq and is a predicted model, not a curated record. The transcript has 3 exons. Lineage: Eukaryota; Metazoa; Chordata; Actinopteri; Salmoniformes; Salmonidae.